Molecule: ribosomal RNA, 253 nt
Filed under: uncultured bacterium
Lineage: Bacteria
Description: partial 16S ribosomal RNA
Rfam family: Bacterial small subunit ribosomal RNA
Source: RNAcentral
UACGAAGGGGGCGAGCGUUGUUCGGAAUUACUGGGCGUAAAGGGCGCGUAGGCGGCCUACUAAGUCAGACGUGAAAUCCCCCGGCUUAACCUGGGAACUGCGUCUGAUACUGGAAGGCUUGAGGAUGGGAGAGGGAUGUAGAAUUCCAGGUGUAGCGGUGAAAUGCGUAGAUAUCUGGAGGAAUACCGGUGGCGAAGGCGGCAUCCUGGACCAUUACUGACGCUGAGGCACGAAAGCGUGGGGAGCAAACAGG